GACGAACCGUGCGAACGUUGUUCGGAAUCACUGGGCUUAAAGGGCGCGUAGGCGGCCCGCCAAGUCAGGGGUGAAAGCCCCCAGCUUAACUGGGGAAGGGCCUCUGAUACUGGCGGGCUCGAGGGGGAUAGGGGCGGACGGAACUUCCGGUGGAGCGGUGAAAUGCGUUGAUAUCGGAAGGAACGCCGGUGGCGAAAGCGGUCCGCUGGGUCCCCUCUGACGCUGAGGCGCGAAAGCCAGGGGAGCAAACGGG
Molecule: ribosomal RNA, 253 nt
Filed under: uncultured bacterium
Lineage: Bacteria
Description: partial 16S ribosomal RNA
Rfam family: Bacterial small subunit ribosomal RNA
Source: RNAcentral